CAUGCAGUCGAACGGUGAAGCCAAGCUUGCUUGGUGGAUCAGUGGCGAACGGGUGAGUAACACGUGAGCAACCUGCCCUGGACUCUGGGAUAAGCGCUGGAAACGGCGUCUAAUACUGGAUAUGAGCUCUCAUCGCAUGGUGGGGGUUGGAAAGAUUUUUCGGUCUGGGAUGGGCUCGCGGCCUAUCAGCUUGUUGGUGAGGUAAUGGCUCACCAAGGCGUCGACGGGUAGCCGGCCUGAGAGGGUGACCGGCCACACUGGGACUGAGACACGGCCCAGACUCCUACGGGAGGCAGCAGUGGGGAAUAUUGCACAAUGGGCGGAAGCCUGAUGCAGCAACGCCGCGUGAGGGAUGACGGCCUUCGGGUUGUAAACCUCUUUUAGCAGGGAAGAAGCGAGAGUGACGGUACCUGCAGAAAAAGCGCCGGCUAACUACGUGCCAGCAGCCGCGGUAAUACGUAGGGCGCAAGCGUUAUCCGGAAUUAUUGGGCGUAAAGAGCUCGUAGGCGGUUUGUCGCGUCUGCUGUGAAAUCCCGAGGCUCAACCUCGGGCCUGCAGUGGGUACGGGCAGACUAGAGUGCGGUAGGGGAGAUUGGAAUUCCUGGUGUAGCGGUGGAAUGCGCAGAUAUCAGGAGGAACACCGAUGGCGAAGGCAGAUCUCUGGGCCGUAACUGACGCUGAGGAGCGAAAGGGUGGGGAGCAAACAGGCUUAGAUACCCUGGUAGUCCACCCCGUAAACGUUGGGAACUAGUUGUGGGGACCAUUCCACGGUUUCCGUGACGCAGCUAACGCAUUAAGUUCCCCGCCUGGGGAGUACGGCCGCAAGGCUAAAACUCAAAGGAAUUGACGGGGACCCGCACAAGCGGCGGAGCAUGCGGAUUAAUUCGAUGCAACGCGAAGAACCUUACCAAGGCUUGACAUACACCAGAACACCGUAGAAAUACGGGACUCUUUGGACACUGGUGAACAGGUGGUGCAUGGUUGUCGUCAGCUCGUGUCGUGAGAUGUUGGGUUAAGUCCCGCAACGAGCGCAACCCUCGUUCUAUGUUGCCAGCACGUAAUGGUGGGAACUCAUGGGAUACUGCCGGGGUCAACUCGGAGGAAGGUGGGGAUGACGUCAAAUCAUCAUGCCCCUUAUGUCUUGGGCUUCACGCAUGCUACAAUGGCCGGUACAAAGGGCUGCAAUACCGUGAGGUGGAGCGAAUCCCAAAAAGCCGGUCCCAGUUCGGAUUGAGGUCUGCAACUCGACCUCAUGAAGUCGGAGUCGCUAGUAAUCGCAGAUCAGCAACGCUGCGGUGAAUACGUUCCCGGGUCUUGUACACACCGCCCGUCAAGUCAUGAAAGUCGGUAACACCUGAAGCCGGUGGCCCAACCCUUGUGGAGGGAGCCGUCGAA
Molecule: ribosomal RNA, 1395 nt
Filed under: Actinomycetes bacterium
Lineage: Bacteria; Bacillati; Actinomycetota; Actinomycetes
Description: bacterial SSU rRNA
Rfam family: Bacterial small subunit ribosomal RNA
Source: RNAcentral